This 477-nucleotide ribosomal RNA is filed under the name uncultured bacterium. RNAcentral describes it as "bacterial SSU rRNA". It matches the Rfam family "Bacterial small subunit ribosomal RNA", at positions 365 to 832 of the family's 1533-position model. The record is from RNAcentral.
UUCGCAAUGCCCGAAAGGGUGACGAAGCGACGCCGCGUGUGGGAAGAAGGCCUUCGGGUUGUAAACCACUGUCGGGAGUUAAGAAAUGCAAGGAUAUUAAUAGUGUCUUUGUUUGACUAAGGCUCCGGAGGAGGCCACGGCUAACUCUGUGCCAGCAGCCGCGGUAAUACAGAGGCGGCAAGCGUUGUUCGGAAUUAUUGGGCGUAAAGAGCACGUAGGCGGCUAUGUAAGUCGGUUGUGAAAGCCUUCCGCUCGACGGAAGAACGGCAUCCGAUACUGCAUGGCUUGAGUGUGGGAGGGGAGAGUGGAACUUCUGGUGGAGCGGUGAAAUGCGUAGAUAUCAGAAGGAACACCGGCGGCGAAGGCGACUCUCUGGUCCAUAACUGACGCUGAGUGUGCGAAAGCUAGGGGGGCAAACGGGAUUAGAUACCCCGGUAGUCCUAGCCGUAAACGAUGGGCACUAAGUAGAGGGGUUUU